Molecule: long non-coding RNA, 332 nt
Filed under: Elaeis guineensis (African oil palm)
Lineage: Eukaryota; Viridiplantae; Streptophyta; Magnoliopsida; Arecales; Arecaceae
Description: long non-coding RNA (EGUI_LNC011893)
Source: RNAcentral
CUCAUUAUUUUUUAUCAGGGAAAUAAAAGCAUCAAGAUAAAAUUAUUAAGGAUAUUUUAUAUCACGAACAUGAACACUGUACCAGUGAAGAGAGGUGGAAAGAAGAUAUUCGGAGAGAAGAAUGAUGACCUCGUGGAUAAACAGAGAAGGAUGUGAACAUGAGAGGAUGCUUCAUGUAUUCUCCUCCUCUCUUUUUUUUUCCUGAAAGUUGCAGGACGGAUAGACUACCAUCCUGCCUUGCCUCUUUGGCUUCUACUUUAAACUCAAUGCUAUGAAGUACAUGAAAAAAGAGGAAGCAGUCCCCAGGCGAUACCAUAGGAAGGUUGGUGACC